CUCUUUAAUUAUCUUUUUUUGCAUAAUGGUGACACGCGUGGUGUGGAUGGUGCACAGGUUGGUGUCCUCGAAGAGGCCGACAAGGUAGGGUUAGGGGGCUCCCUGGAGUGCCAUGAAGGCAGAGAUUCGAAUUCCGUAGGUGAACCUGCGGAGGGAUCAUUACAGAGUUAGUAGUCCAAACCCAUUGUGAACCUUACCUAUGAUCCGUUGCCUCGGCGGUGUCGGUCAGCGCCCCUGAGAAAAGAGGACGAUGCCCCUCCCGCCGGCAGCACCCAACUCCCGAAUUGACAGUGGAAUACCGUUUGAUUGAAAACAAAAAAAUCAUUAAAACUCAACAACGAAUU
This 344-nucleotide unclassified non-coding RNA is filed under the name Scedosporium sp. Fu_1_13. RNAcentral describes it as "partial contains 18S rRNA, ITS1, 5.8S rRNA, ITS2 and 28S rRNA". The record is from RNAcentral. Lineage: Eukaryota; Fungi; Ascomycota; Sordariomycetes; Microascales; Microascaceae.